This 263-nucleotide ribosomal RNA is filed under the name uncultured bacterium. Its description in RNAcentral is "partial 16S ribosomal RNA". It matches the Rfam family "Bacterial small subunit ribosomal RNA", at positions 524 to 787 of the family's 1533-position model. The record is from RNAcentral.
UACGUAGGGGGCGAGCGUUGUCCGGAAUUACUGGGCGUAAAGCGCGCGCAGGCGGCUUGUUAAGUCAGGUGUCAAAAUGCGGGGCUCAACCCCGUAUCGCACUUGAAACUGGCAGGCUUGAGUGCAGGAGAGGGAAGUGGAAUUCCUAGUGUAGCGGUGAAAUGCGUAGAUAUUAGGAGGAACACCAGUGGCGAAGGCGACUUCCUGGACUGUAACUGACGCUCAGGCGCGAAAGCUAGGGGAGCAAACAGGAUUAGAUACCC